This 265-nucleotide signal recognition particle RNA is filed under the name Bacillota bacterium. RNAcentral's name for it is "Firmicutes bacterium signal recognition particle sRNA large type". It matches the Rfam family "Bacterial large signal recognition particle RNA". Rfam says of the family: The signal recognition particle (SRP) is a universally conserved ribonucleoprotein involved in the co-translational targeting of proteins to membranes. Archaeal SRP consists of a 7S RNA and homologues of the eukaryotic SRP19 and SRP54 proteins. The record is from RNAcentral. Lineage: Bacteria; Bacillati; Bacillota.
UCGCACCAGGCGGGGAGCUAGCGGUGCCCUGUACCCUCAAUCCGCUAAAGAGGGGCUGGAUUCCCUCCCGAGGCUUUGUUGUUUGGGAAUGCGAAAAGACAAGGAGCGUCGAAGGCCGGGUCCCGUGCAACGUACAGCCGUGAACCAUGUCAGGCCCUGACGGGAGCAGCAUUAAGCGGAAUCGUGCGUGUGCCGCGGGGAAGCCGGGCCGGAGCAACCUAUCUUUUUUUGCGCCUGGAUGGCAUUGCCAAAGGAGGGUGUGCGG